GAUGAACGCUGGCGGCGUGCUUAACACAUGCCAGUCGAACGGUGAAGGCGGAGCUUGCUCUGCUGGAUCAGUGGCGAACGGGUGAGUAACACGUGAGCAAUCUGCCCCUGACUCUGGGAUAAGCGCUGGAAACGGCGUCUAAUACUGGAUACGAGCUGCGAAGGCAUCUUCAGCAGCUGGAAAGAAUUUCGGUCAGGGAUGAGCUCGCGGCCUAUCAGCUUGUUGGUGAGGUAAUGGCUCACCAAGGCGUCGACGGGUAGCCGGCCUGAGAGGGUGACCGGCCACACUGGGACUGAGACACGGCCCAGACUCCUACGGGAGGCAGCAGUGGGGAAUAUUGCACAAUGGGCGAAAGCCUGAUGCAGCAACGCCGCGUGAGGGACGACGGCCUUCGGGUUGUAAACCUCUUUUAGCAGGGAAGAAGCGAAAGUGACGGUACCUGCAGAAAAAGCGCCGGCUAACUGCGUG
This 468-nucleotide ribosomal RNA is filed under the name uncultured bacterium. RNAcentral's name for it is "partial 16S ribosomal RNA". It matches the Rfam family "Bacterial small subunit ribosomal RNA", at positions 28 to 507 of the family's 1533-position model. The record is from RNAcentral.